GUUGUGGCUCAGGGGUAGAGCGCUUGCCUAGCACACAUGAGGCACUGGGUUCAAUUCUUAGUACAACA
Molecule: transfer RNA, 68 nt
Filed under: Marmota marmota marmota (Alpine marmot)
Lineage: Eukaryota; Metazoa; Chordata; Mammalia; Rodentia; Sciuridae
Also listed under: 1 other name
Rfam family: tRNA
About the family: Transfer RNA (tRNA) molecules are approximately 80 nucleotides in length.
Source: Rfam by way of RNAcentral